This is a long non-coding RNA of Anguilla anguilla (European eel), 1096 nucleotides long. RefSeq lists it as uncharacterized. The record is from RefSeq and is a predicted model, not a curated record. The transcript has 5 exons. Lineage: Eukaryota; Metazoa; Chordata; Actinopteri; Anguilliformes; Anguillidae.
AAGAUUUGCAACGUUCUUCUAUCGCCCUGGGCGACAACCGCGUGAAAGAAAAUUUUCUGCAUUCGCCAUUAAGAUCGUUGAAAACCGAACUUUGAACAUAUUCCCUUGACAUUCCGGAUGUUCUCGUGAUUCUCCUGGUGUGGUGAUGGCUUCUUCCACAGAUAGUACGGCGGGUAGUACUGUGUGUUGGGUGUAAAAUAGUCACUGGUCCACUGCUGAGUGAAAGCGGCACUCUUGGCUGUUCCAAGUCCUGAGGGUCCCUGCUGCUGUGAGCUGUUCUGGUCCCAUUCUACUGCUCUGCCCAGUGCAAAUGCAGCCAAAAACAGUUCCCCAAUGUAAAGGCCUCUUCCCAACAGCUUUGUCUCCUCUCUCAACAGCCUUUCUGUCCUCUUGAACAAAUAAUCAGAGGCCCGUCUCACCGUCUGCUACCCCCUUACCUCCUGCCCUGCACCCCUUUUUCCACUCAGCACUCCUUCCCCCAAUGCCCAGUUUUUGGAGUAAGGAAGGCAACUUUCCACUGAAGAGAGGUCCCUGGCCCUGAACCCAGUAUCUAAGCUGUUAGCUACAGGGUGGAACAAGACGGCAGUUCUCCAGAGUUUACAGCACAGAGCAGUGAAUGGUAUGGGCUGUCUGACUUCAGGGUCUCACAUGGUGUAUUAAUGCAAUGUAAGCUUUAAGCACACUUCAUCACCCCUGAGAUGAACAUGUGCUGCUUGAAUGUACAGCACAGUAAAAUUCUAUAUCAUUUAAUUUCCUCGUAUUCUUAUUUGUCUGACAAUUGACAAAGAUUCUUCCUUCCUAAUGUCUACAAUUCUGGUGUUCUUUGCUUUAUUUUUUUUUUCUUACACUACAGCGUUAUCGUCUGGAGAGAAAAAUAACAAGACAAUGUAUCUGCUUGUAAAAAUUAAUGUUCAUUCAGAAACUGAAUGCUUAAGGAUUAGAGUCUUCACCUGAAGCAAACAACCACAUCUUAAAUGUUUUUCCUCCAAAUGUUUUAUGUAGCUAGUGUAUUAUAUACCUAUGUGCACUAUAAGGAACACAUUCAACAUGGCCAUUUAUGUCUUUUUAAAUAAAAAUGGAACUGUUCAAUACAGAA